This is a long non-coding RNA of Etheostoma cragini (Arkansas darter), 242 nucleotides long. RefSeq lists it as uncharacterized. Lineage: Eukaryota; Metazoa; Chordata; Actinopteri; Perciformes; Percidae. The record is from RefSeq and is a predicted model, not a curated record. The transcript is spliced from 2 exons.
CAGGAACUUGAAGAUCACUGACUGGUUAUGUUUUGUUUUCUUCAUUUGUAGACCACAGAGGAGAUCACUGGCACGUUGGCGGGCACCAUCGUACCCUCUGACCUGGAGUGGAGUCCUUCCAACUUUGUCAGGGUUAACACCUCUCUAUAGGGAUGAAGGCCUGGUAACUGAGGUUAAAAUGCAGGGUUUUUGUGGCUCUUUUGGGCCUUCAAUGCAGUUGGAGCUCUGGUGGGGCAACUCAA